RNAcentral lists this ribosomal RNA (674 nucleotides) under Ferula communis. RNAcentral's name for it is "eukaryotic LSU rRNA". The stretch from base 254 to 409 matches the Rfam family "5.8S ribosomal RNA". Lineage: Eukaryota; Viridiplantae; Streptophyta; Magnoliopsida; Apiales; Apiaceae. The record is from RNAcentral.
UUUCCGUAGGUGAACCUGCGGAAGGAUCAUUGUCGAAUCCUGCAAUAGCAGAAUGACCUGUUAACAAGUAAAAACAUCGGGCAAGCUUUGGGAGGCCUAUGGUCCCCUAUUUGCGAACCCAAGGUAGGUGUACCCCUCACGGGUGUCCACCGGCCAACGAAAUCAACCGGGCGCUGACUGCGCCAAGGAAAUUAAUACUGAAUUGUUCGUCGCUUCUCGUUCGCGGGCAGCGGCGUCAGUCUGAAACACAAACGACUCUCGGCAACGGAUAUCCCGGCUCUCGCAUCGAUGAAGAACGUAGCGAAAUGCGAUACUUGGUGUGAAUUGCAGAAUCCCGUGAACCAUCGAGUCUUUGAACGCAAGUUGCGCCCGAAGCCAUUAGGCUGAGGGCACGUCUGCCUGGGUGUCACGCAUCGUGUUGCCCCCGACCAAACAUCUCUUUAGGAGAUGUUCCGGUUUGGGGGCGGAUACUGGCCUCCCGUGCCUUGUUGUGCGGCUGGCGCAAAAAUGAGUCUCUAGCGAUGGACGUCGCGACAUCGGUGGUUGUAAGAAGACCUUCUUGUCUUGUCGUGUAUGCCCGUCACCUUAGUAAAGCUCAAGGACCCUUAGGCGCCAUAAAAUAUGGGCGCUUCGAUUGUGACCCCAGGUCAGGCGGGACUACCCGCUGAGUUUAA